GAGGCAAAAGGAAAACACAAUAUUUCGUAUACAAAUGCAUUAAAAUGUACUUUCCAUGUCGGCAUAUUUGCAUAACAAAGAAGACACAGAUCACACUGAAAGGUCAGUCAUAUUCAUAUUAAUGACCCUGAUAGCUGCUCAACUCUGCUGACGUUUCACACGCACGCAAUUGACAGACAGACGGAAGUGAGGUAGACUGAAAUAGCACGUCUUCCUAUGCAGAAUAAAUACAGUGAUGCUUCCCUCCUGAUACUGACUGUACCGUCAAGCUUGAUAAACGACAACAUUGAAAGGCUGUCAUAAAACAAACGAGAUGAAUUCCUCAAGAAGAAGCGAAAGCGAUUGGCAGGGUUUGGUCAGCGAGGACUCGAGUCUCACCAAAGACAUUUACAAAGACUGGCUUGUUGGAGAUCCAUGGGACAUCCAUACGGCCCGAUGAAGAGCCUGCCGCAAAUCAAUAAAAGUGGGCGAAGCAGCUGUGACGAGCCAUGCUGAUGGAGCAUCACACAUGACGGCACUGCACAAGUUAAAAGCAGGUGGGUCCUACCCCAGGUAACAUGUAGAAAGGAAUACAACAACCAUAGUUAGUUACUAACGUUAAUUAGUUAGCUAGAUUAUUCCAUCUGUUCGCAGUUGGGCAAAUAUAACUUUAACGUUACAGAAUUUUUCAGUAAAAUUAAGGUUUGCUAUGUUGUUUAGCUAACGUUAUCUAGAUGUCAGUUCUCCCACAAAAUCACACCUGUCAAUAUAGUGCUAACUAGCUAACGUUAGCCAACUUGAGGCCAGCAGAGCUAGACAGUGAACAUUUCAAAUAAAUGACAGUUUGCUGACAUUGACUGAAAGUUUACAUUUAGUUAAAGGACGUUAACUGGAGUCGUAAGUGACAACAUUUCAUGACUAAUGCUAGUUAACGUUAACCAGCUAGCUAGUAUUCAUCAGACUUGGACACUUAUUUUCUUACAGUUCCCACUCUAUUGAACUAAGUGGAAAAGUCAUCGUCAUCUACAUCACCACCAAGACAAUCUUCUACAACUACUACCACAUUCACCACCUCCUCAAGACAAUCUGUCAUAACUGGUGUUCCAAAAGAGGACACAUUGCAGGCUGAGACAUUAUGGUGUCUGAAUAUGAUGGAGUCUUACUACUCUUUCCACUCUAGUGAACGCACAGGUGAGUGGUAUGGUUUAUAAACUCACCUGUAACAUGAAAUUAUUUUUAGGAACAUGUUUGUUUUCAUAUUCUCUCUGACACAAACACGUUCACACACAGGCUAGAUACAGAAAUAAGUGUUUGAUUUCAAUCUUUUUUCUUUUCUUUUUUUUGUGUAACUUUUAGGUGCUGUUCUUAGUGAUGUUCCCAGACAGUGCACUAGCCCAGACCUUCGCAUG
RNAcentral lists this long non-coding RNA (1388 nucleotides) under Oncorhynchus kisutch (coho salmon). Its description in RNAcentral is "lncRNA (ENSOKIG00005026384.1)". The record is from RNAcentral. Lineage: Eukaryota; Metazoa; Chordata; Actinopteri; Salmoniformes; Salmonidae.